GGUUAAGUUAGAAAGGGCGCACGGUGGAUGCCUUGACACUAGGAGUCGAUGAAGGACGGGACUAACGCCGAUAUGCUUCGGGGAGCUGUAAGUAAGCUUUGAUCCGAAGAUUUCCGAAUGGGGAAACCCACCAUACGUAAUGGUAUGGUAUCCUUAUCUGAAUACAUAGGGUAAGGAAGACAGACCCAGGGAACUGAAACAUCUAAGUACCUGGAGGAAGAGAAAGCAAAUGCGAUUUCCUGAGUAGCGGCGAGCGAAACGGAACAUAGCCCAAACCAAGAGGCUUGCCUCUUGGGGUUGUAGGACAUUCUAUACGGAGUUACAAAGGAACGAGGUAGACGAAGCGACCUGGAAAGGUCCGUCGUAGAGGGUAACAACCCCGUAGUCGAAACUUCGUUCUCUCUUGAAUGUAUCCUGAGUACGGCGGAACACGUGAAAUUCCGUCGGAAUCUGGGAGGACCAUCUCCCAAGGCUAAAUACUCCCUAGUGAUCGAUAGUGAACCAGUACCGUGAGGGAAAGGUGAAAAGCACCCCGGAAGGGGAGUGAAAGAGAUCCUGAAACCGUGUGCCUACAAAUAGUCAGAGCCCGUUAA
RNAcentral lists this ribosomal RNA (593 nucleotides) under Bacillus anthracis (anthrax bacterium). Its description in RNAcentral is "partial 23S ribosomal RNA". It matches the Rfam family "Bacterial large subunit ribosomal RNA", at positions 1 to 587 of the family's 2925-position model. The record is from RNAcentral. Lineage: Bacteria; Bacillati; Bacillota; Bacilli; Caryophanales; Bacillaceae. RNAcentral also lists the same sequence under 4 other names.